This 2903-nucleotide ribosomal RNA is filed under the name Escherichia coli. RNAcentral's name for it is "bacterial LSU rRNA". It matches the Rfam family "Bacterial large subunit ribosomal RNA". The record is from RNAcentral. Lineage: Bacteria; Pseudomonadati; Pseudomonadota; Gammaproteobacteria; Enterobacterales; Enterobacteriaceae.
UUAAGCGACUAAGCGUACACGGUGGAUGCCCUGGCAGUCAGAGGCGAUGAAGGACGUGCUAAUCUGCGAUAAGCGUCGGUAAGGUGAUAUGAACCGUUAUAACCGGCGAUUUCCGAAUGGGGAAACCCAGUGUGUUUCGACACACUAUCAUUAACUGAAUCCAUAGGUUAAUGAGGCGAACCGGGGGAACUGAAACAUCUAAGUACCCCGAGGAAAAGAAAUCAACCGAGAUUCCCCCAGUAGCGGCGAGCGAACGGGGAGCAGCCCAGAGCCUGAAUCAGUGUGUGUGUUAGUGGAAGCGUCUGGAAAGGCGCGCGAUACAGGGUGACAGCCCCGUACACAAAAAUGCACAUACUGUGAGCUCGAUGAGUAGGGCGGGACACGUGGUAUCCUGUCUGAAUAUGGGGGGACCAUCCUCCAAGGCUAAAUACUCCUGACUGACCGAUAGUGAACCAGUACCGUGAGGGAAAGGCGAAAAGAACCCCGGCGAGGGGAGUGAAAAAGAACCUGAAACCGUGUACGUACAAGCAGUGGGAGCACGCUUCGGCGUGUGACUGCGUACCUUUUGUAUAAUGGGUCAGCGACUUAUAUUCUGUAGCAAGGUUAACCGAAUAGGGGAGCCGAAGGGAAACCGAGUCUUAACUGGGCGUUAAGUUGCAGGGUAUAGACCCGAAACCCGGUGAUCUAGCCAUGGGCAGGUUGAAGGUUGGGUAACACUAACUGGAGGACCGAACCGACUAAUGUUGAAAAAUUAGCGGAUGACUUGUGGCUGGGGGUGAAAGGCCAAUCAAACCGGGAGAUAGCUGGUUCUCCCCGAAAGCUAUUUAGGUAGCGCCUCGUGAACUCAUCUCCGGGGGUAGAGCACUGUUUCGGCAAGGGGGUCAUCCCGACUUACCAACCCGAUGCAAACUGCGAAUACCGGAGAAUGUUAUCACGGGAGACACACGGCGGGUGCUAACGUCCGUCGUGAAGAGGGAAACAACCCAGACCGCCAGCUAAGGUCCCAAAGUCAUGGUUAAGUGGGAAACGAUGUGGGAAGGCCCAGACAGCCAGGAUGUUGGCUUAGAAGCAGCCAUCAUUUAAAGAAAGCGUAAUAGCUCACUGGUCGAGUCGGCCUGCGCGGAAGAUGUAACGGGGCUAAACCAUGCACCGAAGCUGCGGCAGCGACACUAUGUGUUGUUGGGUAGGGGAGCGUUCUGUAAGCCUGUGAAGGUGUGCUGUGAGGCAUGCUGGAGGUAUCAGAAGUGCGAAUGCUGACAUAAGUAACGAUAAAGCGGGUGAAAAGCCCGCUCGCCGGAAGACCAAGGGUUCCUGUCCAACGUUAAUCGGGGCAGGGUGAGUCGACCCCUAAGGCGAGGCCGAAAGGCGUAGUCGAUGGGAAACAGGUUAAUAUUCCUGUACUUGGUGUUACUGCGAAGGGGGGACGGAGAAGGCUAUGUUGGCCGGGCGACGGUUGUCCCGGUUUAAGCGUGUAGGCUGGUUUUCCAGGCAAAUCCGGAAAAUCAAGGCUGAGGCGUGAUGACGAGGCACUACGGUGCUGAAGCAACAAAUGCCCUGCUUCCAGGAAAAGCCUCUAAGCAUCAGGUAACAUCAAAUCGUACCCCAAACCGACACAGGUGGUCAGGUAGAGAAUACCAAGGCGCUUGAGAGAACUCGGGUGAAGGAACUAGGCAAAAUGGUGCCGUAACUUCGGGAGAAGGCACGCUGAUAUGUAGGUGAAGUCCCUCGCGGAUGGAGCUGAAAUCAGUCGAAGAUACCAGCUGGCUGCAACUGUUUAUUAAAAACACAGCACUGUGCAAACACGAAAGUGGACGUAUACGGUGUGACGCCUGCCCGGUGCCGGAAGGUUAAUUGAUGGGGUUAGCGGUAACGCGAAGCUCUUGAUCGAAGCCCCGGUAAACGGCGGCCGUAACUAUAACGGUCCUAAGGUAGCGAAAUUCCUUGUCGGGUAAGUUCCGACCUGCACGAAUGGCGUAAUGAUGGCCAGGCUGUCUCCACCCGAGACUCAGUGAAAUUGAACUCGCUGUGAAGAUGCAGUGUACCCGCGGCAAGACGGAAAGACCCCGUGAACCUUUACUAUAGCUUGACACUGAACAUUGAGCCUUGAUGUGUAGGAUAGGUGGGAGGCUUUGAAGUGUGGACGCCAGUCUGCAUGGAGCCGACCUUGAAAUACCACCCUUUAAUGUUUGAUGUUCUAACGUUGACCCGUAAUCCGGGUUGCGGACAGUGUCUGGUGGGUAGUUUGACUGGGGCGGUCUCCUCCUAAAGAGUAACGGAGGAGCACGAAGGUUGGCUAAUCCUGGUCGGACAUCAGGAGGUUAGUGCAAUGGCAUAAGCCAGCUUGACUGCGAGCGUGACGGCGCGAGCAGGUGCGAAAGCAGGUCAUAGUGAUCCGGUGGUUCUGAAUGGAAGGGCCAUCGCUCAACGGAUAAAAGGUACUCCGGGGAUAACAGGCUGAUACCGCCCAAGAGUUCAUAUCGACGGCGGUGUUUGGCACCUCGAUGUCGGCUCAUCACAUCCUGGGGCUGAAGUAGGUCCCAAGGGUAUGGCUGUUCGCCAUUUAAAGUGGUACGCGAGCUGGGUUUAGAACGUCGUGAGACAGUUCGGUCCCUAUCUGCCGUGGGCGCUGGAGAACUGAGGGGGGCUGCUCCUAGUACGAGAGGACCGGAGUGGACGCAUCACUGGUGUUCGGGUUGUCAUGCCAAUGGCACUGCCCGGUAGCUAAAUGCGGAAGAGAUAAGUGCUGAAAGCAUCUAAGCACGAAACUUGCCCCGAGAUGAGUUCUCCCUGACUCCUUGAGAGUCCUGAAGGAACGUUGAAGACGACGACGUUGAUAGGCCGGGUGUGUAAGCGCAGCGAUGCGUUGAGCUAACCGGUACUAAUGAACCGUGAGGCUUAACCUU